Molecule: long non-coding RNA, 1561 nt
Filed under: Homo sapiens (human)
Lineage: Eukaryota; Metazoa; Chordata; Mammalia; Primates; Hominidae
Description: HSALNT0144794
Source: RNAcentral
GAACUUUCCAACCAUGCCCGUACUGUGCUGGCCGCUGAUCUCUGCCACCAGCCUCUUCUUCAUCAGCUGAGUGGGAGACUGGAGUCAACUCCAUUAUCUUUCAUCUUCACCUUGCAUGGCCUGGCAGACAUGUGUUCAAGGAAAGGGAACAGGAUUCUGAAGCAGCACUUCAUUCAGACUCCAGCUUCAAUAUUGGCAGGUGCACCUGAGGGGGAACCUGAACCCGUGAGGUUGCAUCUUCACCUGUCUAAUGUUGGCACUGUCUGCAGCAGCUGGGUUUCUUGUGAGGAUUAAACGGAAGAAUGUUUAUGAAGUAAGUGGAAAAUAAAGUUAAAAGAAGAGAAAAGAUUGAUUUGCAACCUCUGGGCUUUACUUCCGUCAUCUGAAGUUGGGAUCUACUCAGGUUUCCCAUCCUGAAGUCCACAUUUCACUGGGAAAUAGGGUCGUGUUCUCAGCAGCGCUUGACACUAACAGAACAAAUACCCAGUGUGGAUUUAUACGUGAGCGUCAAUUUUAUGUGUGGAUUUUGGUGAAAAAAAAAUUAAGUGAUUUAAAAAUAUUACCUGGAUAUGCCAAAUGAAGGUUGAUAUAUUUUGAGUGAAAUAUCAAAUAUGUAUGUGUUUUUCAAAUAACAGCAUACUCUGCUUAAAAAUAAUUUACUUUUCUGGGUGGUCCUCUUAGGUCCCCCAACCCAGAUGCAGGGGAGGGUGUGACCUCCCCCUGCACUUCUCUCUCAGGGCUUUGGAGGAGGCUGUGGGAAGCAGCGGAGGGAGCGGACAUGGAUUCCAGCUUCUAUGUUCCGGGAUUCUUCCAGCAGGUCUUUCCCAUCUGUCUCUGAUUGCUCCCAACCCAGCCUUGUGUCUGUUGCCACAGCAAGAGGCAGCAUCCUAUGAACAUGACAGAGUGAGAAGAGAUAAAAAUAACGGCAGGGAAAGGGAGUUGAGAUGCUGGAAUUUUGCACCAUUUUAAGGUUACCAUAAAGACCUGACUUGGGAGGAAAAUAGUGCUCCUCACAUUCUUGGCACAGGAGUGGCAUCUUGCAUCCCCACAGUCCUUACUGUACAAAGAGAACCAAAGGAAGCCCUUGAGAACUCAAGAUGCCUGAAAGCUGUCCAGGAUCACUGGGCUCUGGUGGAAGGGACAGGGGCAAAUGCUGGUUGAGCACCAAUGGUGUUCAAUGCUGGGCAUGUGUAUGAUUCAUUAUAUCAUUUAAUCAUCACACACUCCCUGAGUAAGCACCGUUGCCUCCCCUGGGCAGAUGAGGAGCAAGAGGCUUAUAAGGAAUUCAUUAGGUUGCCGGAAACUCACACUUCUGUGGUGGUGGAGCUGGGAUUAGAACACAUAUGGGUCUGACCCUUGCCUACCUCAUCCCUUCCCCAUGGCUGUCUCCAGUGUUCAUGUCCUUUCUUUCCUCUUCAAAGAGGAGGAAAAAAGUCUUGCAAGUGCCUGGCACAUAGCAAGCACUCAAUGCAUGGGACUUUCAAGAUCUGUUGGAAAGAACAUGGAUGUAGCUGCCAACAUUCCUGCAUUUUCUUUAUUCUGUGCUUUUGUUCACAUUUUC